AGAUUUAACGUCUCAAUAAGUCCCUACUUUUGUUCAGAAUAUUAAAUAGGACCCUUUCUUUUUUGACAUCUCAAUUGGGUCCUUAUUUUUGUAAAAUUGAAUCAAAUAUGGCCUUUUCAUCAAAUUGAUUAGACGACAUUAAGGAGGGCAUGUUGACUGUGUAGUUUUUUAUUACGUGGCAUUAAAAACGUGACUGAACUUUUUUUUUAUUUUUGAAUUAAAAAAUGGAGUUUAAAGUGAGGGCAAAGUUGGGAAAGCCCCAUUCUCCUAUGCAAUUACAAAAUCCAAAUGAAGUCACAUUCCUACUAUCUGUCUCCUUCUUCUUCGGACUCUUAGCAGCACUCCCGUUAGCCUUGGGCUUUUCCACUGACCCAUUGGCCACUCCACCUUCUUUCUCACUUCCCCAUCGUCAUCUUCUGCCUCUUAUUCGAAGGAUUCUUCUUCCUCUUAUUUUCCAUGCCUAGAGAAGAUGGGUUUUUGCGUUUCUUCUUCUUUUCCAUGCCACACUGGCCCACGUUUUUAAUGACACGUGUGUUAAAACAACAUUGUCAGCAUGCUAGGUCACCCAAUACUCAACGUCGUCUAAUGAAUUUAACAAAAAGAUCCUAUUUGAUUCAAUUUUACAAAAAUAAGGACCC
RNAcentral lists this long non-coding RNA (638 nucleotides) under Vigna radiata. RNAcentral's name for it is "long non-coding RNA (VRAD_LNC001857)". The record is from RNAcentral. Lineage: Eukaryota; Viridiplantae; Streptophyta; Magnoliopsida; Fabales; Fabaceae.